This 625-nucleotide ribosomal RNA is filed under the name uncultured Legionella sp. RNAcentral's name for it is "bacterial SSU rRNA". It matches the Rfam family "Bacterial small subunit ribosomal RNA", at positions 249 to 866 of the family's 1533-position model. Lineage: Bacteria; Pseudomonadati; Pseudomonadota; Gammaproteobacteria; Legionellales; Legionellaceae. The record is from RNAcentral.
UUGGGGGGGUACGGCUACCAAGGCGACGAUCGGUAGCUGGUCUGAGAGGAUGACCAGCCACACUGGAACUGAGACACGGUCCAGACUCCUACGGGAGGCAGCAGUGGGGAAUAUUGGACAAUGGGGGCAACCCUGAUCCAGCAAUGCCGCGUGUGUGAAGAAGGCCUGAGGGUUGUAAAGCACUUUCAGUGGGGAGGAGGGUUGAUAGGUUAAGAGCUAAUUAACUGGACGUUACCCACAAAAGAAGCACCGGCUAACUCCGUGCCAGCAGCCGCGGUAAUACGGAGGGUGCGAGCGUUAAUCGGAAUUACUGGGCGUAAAGGGUGCGUAGGUGGUUGAUUAAGUUAUCUGUGAAAUUCCUGGGCUUAACCUGGGACGGUCAGAUAAUACUGGUUGACUCGAGUAUGGGAGAGGGUAGUGGAAUUUCCGGUGUAGCGGUGAAAUGCGUAGAGAUCGGAAGGAACACCAGUGGCGAAGGCGGCUACCUGGCCUAAUACUGACACUGAGGCACGAAAGCGUGGGGAGCAAACAGGAUUAGAUACCCUGGUAGUCCACGCUGUAAACGAUGUCAACUAGCUGUUGGUUAUAUGAAAAUAAUUAGUGGCGCAGCAAACGCGUAAAAGUU